Molecule: ribosomal RNA, 490 nt
Filed under: uncultured bacterium
Lineage: Bacteria
Description: partial 16S ribosomal RNA
Rfam family: Bacterial small subunit ribosomal RNA
Source: RNAcentral
AUUGAACGCUGGCGGCAGGCCUAACACAUGCAAGUCGAACGGUAACAGGAAGAAGCUUGCUUCUUUGCUGACGAGUGGCGGACGGGUGAGUAAUGUCUGGGAAACUGCCUGAUGGAGGGGGAUAACUACUGGAAACGGUAGCUAAUACCGCAUAACGUCGCAAGACCAAAGAGGGGGACCUUCGGGCCUCUUGCCAUCGGAUGUGCCCAGAUGGGAUUAGCUAGUAGGUGGGGUAACGGCGCACCUAGGCCACGAUCCCUAGCUGGUCUGAGAGGAUGACCAGCCACACUGGAACUGAGACACGGUCCAGACUCCUACGGGAGGCAGCAGUGGGGAAUAUUGCACAAUGGGCGCAAGCCUGAUGCAGCCAUGCCGCGUGUAUGAAGAAGGCCUUCGGGUUGUAAAGUACUUUCAGCGGGGAGGAAGGGAGUAAAGUUAAUACCUUUGCUCAUUGACGUUACCCGCAGAAGAAGCACCGGCUAACUCCGUG